GAUGAACGCUGGCGGCGUGCCUAAUACAUGCAAGUCGAGCGAACAGACGAGGAGCUUGCUCCUCUGACGUUAGCGGCGGACGGGUGAGUAACACGUGGAUAACCUACCUAUAAGACUGGGAUAGCUUCGGGAAACCGGAGCUAAUACCGGAUAAUAUAUUGAACCGCAUGGUUCAAUAGUGAAAGACGGUUUUGCUGUCACUUAUAGAUGGAUCCGCGCCGCAUUAGCUAGUUGGUAAGGUAACGGCUUACCAAGGCGACGAUGCGUAGCCGACGUGAGAGGGUGAUCGGCCACACGGGAGGUGAGACGCGGUCCAGACGCCUGCGGGAGGCAGCAGUAGGGAAUCGUCUGCAAUGGGCGAAAGCCUGACGGAGCAACGGCGCGUGAGUGAUGAAGGUCUUCGGAUCGUAAAACUCUGUUAUUAGGGAAGAACAAAUGUGUAAGUAACUAUGCACGUCUUGACGGUACCUAAUCAGAAAGCCACGGCUAACUACGUG
RNAcentral lists this ribosomal RNA (497 nucleotides) under uncultured bacterium. RNAcentral describes it as "partial 16S ribosomal RNA". It matches the Rfam family "Bacterial small subunit ribosomal RNA", at positions 28 to 507 of the family's 1533-position model. The record is from RNAcentral.